This is a long non-coding RNA of Erpetoichthys calabaricus (reedfish), 456 nucleotides long. RefSeq lists it as uncharacterized. NCBI's taxonomy places the organism in Eukaryota, Metazoa, Chordata, Cladistia, Polypteriformes, Polypteridae. The transcript has 3 exons. The record is from RefSeq and is a predicted model, not a curated record.
UCGUAGUCUUGAUUCUGAAUAUACUGCUCCUCUUGUUGCAUAUCACGUUUGGCCUGCCCUCAUGGAAGGAGAUGUGAUCAUAGUAAAGGGGGAAGCUGUAACAAAGAGGAGGACUGUGGUGUCUCCAAGAAGGAAUCGCAACAGAAGACGCAGUGAUGGGUCAGUUCGUUCACGGACAAGCAGUCCGAACCAUGGACCUUUACAGGAAUGUUAACGUAACAGUCAGUCUUUUUUUUACAAAGUAUACUAAACUCUCCGUGAAGACACCCAGUGAGGGCAACUGACUCUGCUUUUUCCACGCCAAGUCCUAUAAAGCCUGUCGCCCUGGAACGAGGUAUCUCAUUUUGAGUCAAGCCUGAUAAAGGACAGAACUCCUAGUAGAGAGUGGAUCCGCUCAGCCGAGCAGCAGUAUUCAGUUAAAUUGAAGACUACAGCCUCUGUUUACUUUUUGCAGUG